CCUACGGGGGUGCAGCAGUGGGGGAUAUUGCACAAUGGGGGGAACCCUGAUGCAGCGACGCCGCGUGGGUGAAGGAGCGUUUCGGCGCGUAAAGCCCUAUCGGCAGGGAGGAAGAUGACGGUACCUGACCAAGAAGCCCCGGCUAACUACGUGCAAGCAGCCGCGGUAAUACGUAGGGGGCAAGCGGUAACCGGAUUUACUGGGUGGAAAGGGGGCGCAGACGGCAAUGCAAGCCAGGAGUGAAAGCCCGGGGCCCAACCCCGGGCCUGAUCUUGGAACUACCUGGCUAGAGUACAGGAGGGGCAGGCGGAAUUCCUAGUGUAGCGGUGAAAUGCGUAGAUAUUAGGAGGAACACCGGUGGCGAAGGCGGCCUGCUGGACUGUGACUGACGUUGAGGCCCGAAGGCGUGGGGAGCAAACAGGAUUAGAUACCCUAGUAGUC
Molecule: ribosomal RNA, 441 nt
Filed under: uncultured bacterium
Lineage: Bacteria
Description: partial 16S ribosomal RNA
Rfam family: Bacterial small subunit ribosomal RNA
Source: RNAcentral